Molecule: ribosomal RNA, 420 nt
Filed under: uncultured bacterium
Lineage: Bacteria
Description: partial 16S ribosomal RNA
Rfam family: Bacterial small subunit ribosomal RNA
Source: RNAcentral
AAUAUUGGACAAUGGGGGAAACCCUGAUCCAGCCAUGCCGCGUGUGUGAAGAAGGUCUUCGGAUUGUAAAGCACUUUAAGUUGGGAGGAAGGGUUGUUGGCUAAUAUCCAGCAAUUUUGACGUUACCGACAGAAUAAGCACCGGCUAACUCUGUGCCAGCAGCCGCGGUAAUACAGAGGGUGCAAGCGUUAAUCGGAAUUACUGGGCGUAAAGGCGGGGAAGGGGGUCAAGUAAGAUGGGGGUGAAAUCCCCGGGUUUAACCUGGGAACUGCUUUAAUACUGCUGAGCUAGAGUACGGUAGAGGGUAGUGGAAUUUCCUGUGUAGCGGUGAAAUGCGUAGAUAUAGGAAGGAACACCAGUGGCGAAGGCGACUACCUGGACUGAUACUGACACUGAGGUGCGAAAGCGUGGGGAGCAAGC